This 288-nucleotide unclassified non-coding RNA is filed under the name Hevea brasiliensis (rubber tree). Lineage: Eukaryota; Viridiplantae; Streptophyta; Magnoliopsida; Malpighiales; Euphorbiaceae. The record is from RNAcentral.
CAGAUGUUGCUGUUAAGGUAUUCUCCAAGCAAGAAUAUUCAGAAGAUGUUAUACUUUCAUUUAGACAAGAGGUGUCUCUUAUGAAAAGACUUCGACAUCCAAAUAUAUUGCUUUUCAUGGGUGCUGUCACUUCGUGUCAGCGUCUCUGCAUUGUUACAGAGUUCCUUCCACGUGGAAGUUUGUUUCGCUUACUCCAGAGGAACACAACCAAACUGGAUUGGAGGCGACGUGUCCAUAUGGCGUCAGAUAUAGCACGGGGUAUGAAUUAUCUUCAUCAUUGCAAUCCAC